UACGUAGGCAGCGAGCGUUGUUCGGAAUUACUGGGCGUAAAGAGUGUGUAGGCGGUGCUCUAAGUUCGGUGUGAAAUCUCCUGGCUUAACUGGGAGGGUGCGCCGGAAACUGGAGUGCUUGAGCGUGGGAGAGGAAAGCGGAAUUCCUGGUGUAGCGGUGAAAUGCGUAGAUAUCAGGAGGAACACCGGUGGCGAAGGCGGGUCUCUGGGCCGAUACUGACGCUGAGGAGCGAAAGCGUGGGGAGCGAACAGG
Molecule: ribosomal RNA, 253 nt
Filed under: uncultured bacterium
Lineage: Bacteria
Description: partial 16S ribosomal RNA
Rfam family: Bacterial small subunit ribosomal RNA
Source: RNAcentral